AAAGCAAAGACUUACUCUGGACAUUAGCAUUUGAAUGGAGCAAGGGACUCUUUUCAGGGCUUAGUGUAAACACUCUUAAUUGCCGGUGCUUAGCAGAAACAAUGGGAGGAGUGCUGCCGAAGGGGGAAAUAAAGUGUAUUUAAGUUGAGCCUCUGGACGGACGAAGGCGUGUACCCAGCUAGACACACAGACUGCCAGGGUCUAUGUCUAUGGGUCACCCUUGGCUCCUUUUUUCCCGGGAAAAACUCUGUCAAGUUGGAACUAUUCAGUGGCCAUAACCAACUGUAAAAUGCCAUAAAUGGAACAAUAUGAUGACUGGAACUACCCAGUGUCCUUCAGAGUAACAACCGGCUCUACAAAAAGAAAGCUGGAUAUAGUGCACAAUACAAUUCUAGCUAAGGAAAGGAGCUGGCUUGGAAGAGAAGGGGGCUGAGACUGAAAGCGAACACAGCACAAGAGAAAUGUGAGGUGCUGCCUUAUAAACUCUGUAUUUCUCCAGCUUUGUCAGUUUAUUCAUAAUAUGUCUUUAAAGUUAAUAAAUAAACAGUCUGGGUAUUUUUUUCCAUUCUUUUGCCAUUUGUAAAAUUUAUUCAAACCAUUUUUUUCCAGCAGUUUUUUGUCUUUCUUUUUCCAUGGCAACUAAGAGCCAAGGCUCCUUUGCAGAAGCAACACAG
Long non-coding RNA from Prinia subflava (tawny-flanked prinia), 674 nucleotides. RefSeq lists it as uncharacterized. NCBI's taxonomy places the organism in Eukaryota, Metazoa, Chordata, Aves, Passeriformes, Cisticolidae. The transcript is spliced from 3 exons. The record is from RefSeq and is a predicted model, not a curated record.